GUAGGCUGGUUUUCCAGGCAAAUCCGGAAAAUCAAGGCUGAGGCGUGAUGACGAGGCACUACGGUGCUGAAGCAACAAAUGCCCUGCUUCCAGGAAAAGCCUCUAAGCAUCAGGUAACAUCAAAUCGUACCCCAAACCGACACAGGUGGUCAGGUAGAGAAUACCAAGGCGCUUGAGAGAACUCGGGUGAAGGAACUAGGCAAAAUGGUGCCGUAACUUCGGGAGAAGGCACGCUGAUAUGUAGGUGAAGUCCCUCGCGGAUGGAGCUGAAAUCAGUCGAAGAUACCAGCUGGCUGCAACUGUUUAUUAAAAACACAGCACUGUGCAAACACGAAAGUGGACGUAUACGGUGUGACGCCUGCCCGGUGCCGGAAGGUUAAUUGAUGGGGUCAGCGCAAGCGAAGCUCUUGAUCGAAGCCCCGGUAAACGGCGGCCGUAACUAUAACGGUCCUAAGGUAGCGAAAUUCCUUGUCGGGUAAGUUCCGACCUGCACGAAUGGCGUAAUGAUGGCCAGGCUGUCUCCACCCGAGACUCAGUGAAAUUGAACUCGCUGUGAAGAUGCAGUGUACCCGCGGCAAGACGGAAAGACCCCGUGAACCUUUACUAUAGCUUGACACUGAACAUUGAGCCUUGAUGUGUAGGAUAGGUGGGAGGCUUUGAAGUGUGGACGCCAGUCUGCAUGGAGCCGACCUUGAAAUACCACCCUUUAAUGUUUGAUGUUCUAACGUGGACCCGUGAUCCGGGUUGCGGACAGUGUCUGGUGGGUAGUUUGACUGGGGCGGUCUCCUCCUAAAGAGUAACGGAGGAGCACGAAGGUUGGCUAAUCCUGGUCGGACAUCAGGAGGUUAGUGCAAUGGCAUAAGCCAGCUUGACUGCGAGCGUGACGGCGCGAGCAGGUGCGAAAGCAGGUCAUAGUGAUCCGGUGGUUCUGAAUGGAAGGGCCAUCGCUCAACGGAUAAAAGGUACUCCGGGGAUAACAGGCUGAUACCGCCCAAGAGUUCAUAUCGACGGCGGUGUUUGGCACCUCGAUGUCGGCUCAUCACAUCCUGGGGCUGAAGUAGGUCCCAAGGGUAUGGCUGUUCGCCAUUUAAAGUGGUACGCGAGCUGGGUUUAGAACGUCGUGAGACAGUUCGGUCCCUAUCUGCCGUGGGCGCUGGAGAACUGAGGGGGGCUGCUCCUAGUACGAGAGGACCGGAGUGGACGCAUCACUGGUGUUCGGGUUGUCAUGCCAAUGGCACUGCCCGGUAGCUAAAUGCGGAAGAGAUAAGUGCUGAAAGCAUCUAAGCACGAAACUUGCCCCGAGAUGAGUUCUCCCUGACCCUUUAAGGGUCCUGAAGGAACGUUGAAGACGACGACGUUGAUAGGCCGGGUGUGUAAGCGCAGCGAUGCGUUGAGCUAACCGGUACUAAUGAACCGUGAGGCUUAACCUU
This 1430-nucleotide ribosomal RNA is filed under the name Escherichia coli. RNAcentral describes it as "partial 23S ribosomal RNA". It matches the Rfam family "Bacterial large subunit ribosomal RNA", at positions 1520 to 2925 of the family's 2925-position model. The record is from RNAcentral. RNAcentral also lists the same sequence under 1 other name. Lineage: Bacteria; Pseudomonadati; Pseudomonadota; Gammaproteobacteria; Enterobacterales; Enterobacteriaceae.